RNAcentral lists this ribosomal RNA (305 nucleotides) under uncultured bacterium. Its description in RNAcentral is "partial 16S ribosomal RNA". It matches the Rfam family "Bacterial small subunit ribosomal RNA", at positions 505 to 807 of the family's 1533-position model. The record is from RNAcentral.
ACAGCAGUCGCCACGGGAAUACGUAGGGUGCGAGCGUUAAUCGGAAUUACUGGGCGUAAAGCGUGCGCAGGCGGUCUGACAAGUCAGAUGUGAAAUCCCCGGGCUUAACCUGGGAACUGCAUUUGAAACUGUCAGGCUGGAGUCUUGUAGAGGGGGGUAGAAUUCCAGGUGUAGCGGUGAAAUGCGUAGAGAUCUGGAGGAAUACCGGUGGCGAAGGCGGCCCCCUGGACAAAGACUGACGCUCAGGUGCGAAAGCGUGGGGAGCAAACAGGAUUAGAUACCCGAGUAGUCCCUGUCUCUUAUAC